AGAAAGAUGGAAAGGAAGAAGAAGGACAGGACUGUGACGAAGCCCUUUGGGAAGAGUAGCAAGGCUCACAAACUCGAUGAAUUGGAAAGUUACAUCAAAAAAACCAAAACCAGCCCUCCUAUGGUCGGCUCCAUUUGGGAUGCUAC
Molecule: non-coding RNA, 146 nt
Filed under: Paramoeba aestuarina
Lineage: Eukaryota; Discosea; Flabellinia; Dactylopodida; Paramoebidae
Source: RNAcentral